GGAAGGAAGGAAGGAAGGAAGGAAGGAAGGAAGGAAGGAAGGAAGGAAGGAAGGAAGGAAGGAAGGAAGGAAGGAGGCGACAUUUAAAAUAGGUGCAGCAUACCAUCUCAUUUGGUACAAGGUGUAUUUGACUCUUGACUCUUGUUAUAAUUUGAUCUGGCAAUGUAAGAUCCUUUACUUUUCAGAACAACAACGCUUAUCUAAUUGAAUUACAUUUCAUUGAAUUGAUAGAAAGGGAGAGAGAGGGAGAGAGAGAAAGAGAAAGAGAUGUAAAUGUGGAGAGGGGAAGGGUGUCACACCCUGAUCUGUUACCUGUCCCUGUGCUUGUCUCCACCCCCCUCCAGGUGUCACCCAUCUUCCCCACUUAUCCCCUGGGUAUUUAUACCUGUGUUUUAUGUCUGUCUGUGCCAGUUUGUCUUGUUUGUUCAAGUCAACCAGCGUUUUUGUGUCUCAGCUCCUGCUUUUCCUCAUUUUCUCUUUUUCUCAUCCUCCUGGUUUUGACUCAUGCCUGACCUGACCCUGGUCCUGCCUGACUUGACCUGUCAUUUGCCUGCCCCUGAGGUAACAAUGUUUAUUGCAACAACAACAUAGUCUGCACUUGCGUCUUACCUGAAACCUGAUUAAGGGAGAGAGGAGAGAGAGGAAAGAGAGAGAGGGGGAGAGAGAGAUAAAUGUAGAGAGAGAGGAGAGAGAGGAAAGAGAGGGAGGAGAGAGAGGGGGAGGGAGAGAGAGAUAAAUGUAGAGAGAGAGGAGAGAGAGGAGAGAGAGGGAGAAGAGAGAGGGGGAGGGAGAGAAAGGAAAGAGAGAGAUGUAGAGAGAUGGAAAGGGAGAUGAGAGAGAAGAAAGACAAAACGUGGAAGGAAAACAAAAUGCUCCAACCAAACUCUAUACUCAAUUGCUAUCACAAACAAUAUUAAUAUUUACAUUGGUACCUUGGGGCAUGAGGCCCCCAGAAUAAUCUGUCUGAUCCUGAUAAACUGGGGGCUGGAGGGGGCAAUGAGCGAUUAUAUGCAGUGAUAUGGUGAUUCCUAGCAGGCCCUUGGGAAACCCCUUAGAGAACAACUAGUCAGCAUCACAGAGAGGAGGAGUGGUACCUGCCCCAUCUCCCAUCAGACAAAUCUCAUCUCCUCCUCCUCCUACUCCUCCUCCUCUCUUACCCUCCACUCUAGUCCACUCCGCUUUCUUUCUUUCUUUUUCUUUCUUUCUUUCUUUUUCUUUCUUUCUUUCUUUCUUUCUUUCUUUCUUUCUUUCU
This 1252-nucleotide long non-coding RNA is filed under the name Salmo salar (Atlantic salmon). RNAcentral's name for it is "lncRNA (ENSSSAG00000111743.1)". The record is from RNAcentral. Lineage: Eukaryota; Metazoa; Chordata; Actinopteri; Salmoniformes; Salmonidae.